This 76-nucleotide transfer RNA is filed under the name Salinivirga cyanobacteriivorans. Its description in RNAcentral is "tRNA-Pro". It matches the Rfam family "tRNA". From Rfam's summary of the family: Transfer RNA (tRNA) molecules are approximately 80 nucleotides in length. The record is from RNAcentral. Lineage: Bacteria; Pseudomonadati; Bacteroidota; Bacteroidia; Bacteroidales; Salinivirgaceae.
CGGGGUGUAGCACAGUCCGGUUAGUGUGCCUGCUUUGGGAGCAGGAGGUCGCAGGUUCGAAUCCUGCCACCCCGAC